Molecule: ribosomal RNA, 465 nt
Filed under: uncultured bacterium
Lineage: Bacteria
Description: bacterial SSU rRNA
Rfam family: Bacterial small subunit ribosomal RNA
Source: RNAcentral
GUAGACUCCUACGGGAGGCAGCAGUAAGGAAUAUUGGACAAUGGGCGCAAGCCUGAUCCAGCCAUCCCGCGUGCAGGAAGACAGCCCUAUGGGUUUUAACUGCUUUUAGAAGGGAAGAAACGCCUACAUUUAUGUGGUUUGACGGUACCUUCAGAAAUAAGCACCGGCUAACUCCGUGCCAGCAGCCGCGGUAAUACGGAGGGUGCGAGCGUUAUCCGGAAUUACUGGGUUUAAAGGGUGCGUAGGCGGGCGAUUAAGUCAGAGGUGAAAGCUUUCAGCUUAACUGAGAAAUUGCCUUUGAUUACUGAUUGUCUUGAAAUAUGUUGAGGUUAGCAGAAUGUGGCAUGUAGCGGUGAAAUGCAUAGAUAUGCCAUAGAAUACCAAUUGCGAAGGCAGCUAACUGGGCAUUAUUUGACGCUGAGGCACGAAAGCGUGGGGAGCGAACAGGAUUAGAUACCCUGGUAG